UUCCCUACGGGGGACCCACGGCGGUGCAGAGGUCGAUCCACCGACUCUCUGUCCCCUCCCACCGGCGUCCCCUGCCGCCGUGCGCGGCCACACCUGCAUUAAACGGGGAAAGUCCGUCCGGUGAGGAAGCAGAGAGACUGUGGGGCUUCAGAAAGCUGAGGCAGGAAGCGGGGCACCUUCAGCAGCCUGCAUCGCAUUGCUUUGGACCCCUGUGAUCCAAGAAGGGGUGAAGGCAUGAUGGCUUGCACCGACUGGUGGCACUGACACUUUGAAACCGUCGACACGGGCUGGGAAUUUGGAUUAAAGACGAAACAGACCUGACCGGUGCCGGAUAGAAGAGACCGAGUCUGAGCAGCUGAGCGCACAGGCUUUCCCCUGCGAGCCCUGGCAGAGCGAGGACAGUGACACUGUGACAGUGACUCGGCCAUUGUCUCCUCACUGUUUCUGGACAGUGUGUGGCUCCCGGGCUGCCUCGGCUGUCCAUUGUGACUGUAGAGAAGAAAGAAAGAUCCAGCUUGUCUGCAUAAAGACCUAUUCAGCAUCAUUUCUCUUUGCCAGCCACAUUUGCAACCAUUACAACAGCACUGAAGUCUCAGCACUAUCCCUAGCCCCAAGCCUUUUCCUCCACCCUCAGCCCCCUCUCCUCUAACCCCGUCAUCCCUACCCCAUUCCCUCAGCCCCUUCCCACUCCGCUGCCCCAGGUUCACCCUCAGCUUCUACCCCAUACGGAGUCCCAGAUGACAGCUCAGAAACAUCCGUUACCCUCCCACUCCACACGAGCCUUCUUUCCUCUCCCUCCAGCCCCCAUGGCGCUUGGCACCAAUGCCCAUCACAUAGACAGAUGGAGCCAACCCUGACCCCUCUCCUCGCCAGUGGGGACGCCAAGAGAAUCAACGCCUGACUAGAGGAGAGGGGGUUGUGUGAGUUGUGUGUAGGGGGGAGACAGGAAGGCGAAGAGGAGAGUAUUGCUUUGUCACCAAGGCAACACAUCGCCCAGUCUCCCGUGGACUCCCCUUCAGCCCAACCCAAGGCCCUAGGAUAAAAACGCACACAGCAGGAAAUUCAACAGCAGGACCAGAAGGACCUCUGUUGUUUUUUUCCUCUAAAUUGUGCCUGACAUAUUCUUGCUUUGAUUAUUUGGCGGAGAUAUCUUGUUCUGUGCUUGUGUGGAGAGAAGAUGUGAACACUGAUAAAAAUUCUAAAUAUAGGAGACAUUAUUUAAAAGACGCAGGAAAUCACAAGAAGUCUAAAAAUGCCAAAGGAAAACCAGCGUGUGAAGUGUGAAGUUUUACUCAACACCACAGAAGUUUCAUUCUGAGCUCCACGCUUCCUUUCCCCUCUGGCCUAAGAAGAGCUGCAAUUGCCUGGCAAAAAUAUUGCCAUUUUAAAAUGCAAAUCAACAUGCGGGAUGGAUUUUUUUUACAGUGACUGCUGAUGCUCUGCAAAAUCAGGACUGGAAAUUUUGUGGAUGUUUUGAGAAUUUGGACCUAUCUCUGUAUGCCAGACUUUGUGAACGCUUUGUAUACACACCAGGGUGGAUAAAACUACAAGACACUGAGCUCAGUCAAGUGAUUUAGUUGCAUUAUAUUCAUUGCCACAAAUUCAAGCCACCUUUAAGAUUUUCAGGAUAACAUACGGAGCAACCCUCUCUCAAACCUCGGGACUUGUCUGUUGGACCUGACAGUGUUUGUGGAUGGAAUAAGGGCUGAACAGAUUCUUAAGUGGAUUCUGCUUCCUCUGUGGUGGUGGCGGCCUUUUUCAGCAGGCUGGGAGUGGCAGCAGGAUGCCUGAACUGGACAACUUUCCCCCCCUGAGGGGACACAGAGGCCCUGAACUGGGCCUCAAUGGUCCUGCCGACCCAGUUCAGAUUCAGCACAGCAUACUGGAGGAACAGGUGGAGCUGUGGUGGUUCAGAGAUCCAGGGAAGUCUCUGCUCUGCUACUGCGUCGCUGUAUUUCUAAUUCUGGGCUGCGGGCUCGGAGGCGUUGGGCUUCUCUCCACCACCACCAGCGUCUCAAGUGAAUGGCGGCUUGGUGCAGGCACAGCCCUCUGCCUGCUAGCCCUGGGGGUCCUGCUCAAACAACUGCUCAGCUCGGCUGUGCAGGACAUGAAUUGCGUUCGAAGCCGGCAACGGAUUGACAUGCUAAAAAGUGGCGGUUUAUCAGACCUCCUUGUGGUUUUGAUUACUGGGCUGUCACUGUUGAUUUGUGGAGGGGUUCUACUACAUCUGGCCCUGGCUAACCACAUGCCGAAGCCUGGCCAAGCCCUUAAUGACAUGUACAUCUCUGGAGUGGUUUUGCUGGCUGGAGGGGGGGCUGCAGUUUUGGGUGUUGGGAUAUACUCAGUCGUGGUGGUCCUCCUUGAGAGGACAAGGCACGGACGACGGUUUGUGGACCAGGUUUUGAAUAUCUUCACUGUGUCUGGACACAUGGACCGCCAUGCUCGCAGAGAGACUACCUCCAGUCUGGCUAACCUCAUAUGAGAUGUAACCACACUAAGGUUGUGUAUUUUGGCCCCUAGCUCUUAAUGUUAGAACUUUAGGUUUCACCUAAAGCAAGAAUCAUGCCCAAACUCAAGAAGAAAUCUGGCAAAAACAAAAAAAAGUCAUCCCUUACAUGUUCUAGCUUUUUCACCAGCUGAUUAGAGUGUGUAUGAAACAAAACGAGUGGAAUUGUAAUAUCUGCUUGACAAAUUCAUUAGCAAUAAGCAGUAAAAUCUCAGUCAAGCAGCAAGGAUGAAAAGACUGUAGAGUAACAUACUGAUUAAGAAUUGAUUACUACAAGGCAAUGCUCACACUGCAGCUGAAAGUGUCCCAAUUCAGAUUUGUUUCUUCACAUGUGAGCAGAUACAAAGUCAGAUGCUGUGGAAAAGAAUUCCUAUGUAACUUUUAUUUGAAAGCUCAACGCAGUAUUUUUUAUGUACUGUUAAUCCAUUCACAUAGGACAAAAUGCCAAAAUCUUGGUGCUUGUGGCAGUUUGGCUGAGGUAGUGUUGCUACGCAGGUCACCAACACCAACAAUGGAAAAGAAGUGAGAAGAAUUGUAAGAAAAACUCAGUUGGUAUUGAGGGAGAAUCAGUGAAAUGGAGAGCACACACAAAUACAUCUGAAACAAAAAGGACAAGUGUUAGUUCAAGAACUGCUUUUGAUGUUGUUAUUAGACGGGUUCAGGAGUCUGUGGUGUGAGCAUAGCCUACAAUUUCAUUUACAGUAUAUAAAGCUCUUUUUCCCAAAUGAUGUUUAAACAACAAGCUAUGAGAAUCUUAAACCUACACACCUGAGGGGACAAAAACCUCCACCUUCUCGAAGGUAACAUACAGUGUUAGACAGGCCAUUUACAAAUUGUAGGAUCACACUUUCAAAUUAUCCCAUCUGUUAUAAAACAUGUUUCCUGUCAAAGUGUCCUUGGGCCACACAUCUGACCACUACCUGUUUAAUGAUUGUAAGAUGUUAUGAAUAAGAGCACCAGCUGACUUGCUAAAAUGUAAAUGGCAGUUACAGAAUGAGCAAUAGAUGGGAGAACAUAAAUAUGAAAAAAAAAAAUCUUUUAAAAUCUUCUUAAUGAUUCAUGCGCCACCUUCACUCUGGCCAUAUUCACAUGAGGAUAUGAAAAUAUUCAGCUGAUGAAUUUGACUGUGGUUCAAACUGAGGACGGUCGAUGAGUGAGAGGCUCGAUAAGGCUAAACUCUCGCUCAUUGGAAUGACUUUGCCCUGUGAUUUGAGUUUCUUUCUCAGUUUAACUAUAACUUAACAUAAUUCAUGCAGUACUGUGUUUGUGACAGACCUUGUCAAAACUUCACUGUAACAUUUGGCUGCCUGUACACAUAAGACAACAUGAUUGUUGGAAUUAUAUCACAGCACUUUGAAUGUAUGGAUUAUUUGUGUUUUGUGCAUGAACACAGUAUUGUCUUCACUGUGAAUCUUGCAGCACAUUGUUUUCCUUAAACCUGCUUUAAUCUAUAUUUUUUGAUAUUAACAGUGAAUCAAAGGACCGUGUAAUGUGAAACGUUUGCUAAUAGUGCAAAAAUCACUGACACCAAGGUCUGCGGAGCUUUUAAGCUUCUUAGCUCAUUGUUUUUACAGUAAGGCUGAGUCUCAUUGUUCUCAUUCAUCCCUGUAGGCAGACAUUUCAAGCCAAAAAUGUUCUGAUGAAUCCACUGUACACCAGCUACCUAACUGGCACACAGACAAAGUUACAAAGCGGCUGAUGAACCCAAGCAUCUUGUUAGCUAAAGACCCAAACAUUUCGUUGAUGGGCACCUAAACAGAGCUAAUGAGAGAGUAUUUGGGCUUGUAUUUGUCAGAUGGACAGGAACAAAACUUUAAAUUUGUGGACAGUUUGAUGUCAAUCUAGUUUGCUCCCCACAGCUGUGAACAGGACAGUUCACGGACACGUCAAUCCACUCAUGUCAUUUCAAAAAGAGCAGUGGCACCGGUGCUUCCUAACGAGACACAAAGAGACAGAGCUGCACAGGGAACAUGCAAGCAACUGACAGUUGUAAAAAGGGAACAAGCGUAUCUCCCAAUGUUAUUCCUCUUCAAAGGUGACAUUUUCAAAGGCAAAGACUACUACUAUUAAUCCUGAUCUUGUCCAAUGCAAGGCGACAGUAACCUUGGUAUUCGCUGAGUGCCACCCUGGGAGCUUCCUGUGGCAUCAUUCAAUCUUUGCAGCUCCUGACUCGUACCUGACAAAGCCAGGUAAUGGACAUGAUUGAUGUAAGAGAGUCAGGUUCAUUCCUAGGGCGGAUGGCAGGUAUGAAACUUAAGGAUUUCUGGCAGUGGUCCAGUGAAGGUAUUGGGCUUCUAUCUCCAUAUCAUUUCCUUUUGCUCCCCCCCCCCCAUUCAAACUAGUGAGAUGGUAAGGAUUUUACUGCAGUCUCAUCAACAUAUGGUGGCUGAAAUAUGACUAUACGUGAUGAUGUCUCAUCUGUCCAAAAAUCAAGCAUGUGUUUGAGGUAGAAAUGUUGCUUCUUGAAUGUGUAAUGUGUUUUAAAAGGUAAAAACUCAGGUUACUUAUAAGCACUUGGUUCUUGUCUCCCCUGGUAUCAUCUUGGAUUAUGACAGAAGUGAUGCAGACGGGUUCAUUUCCAGGGCAGCGAUUGAAUCUACAGAUCCCUGGUGCCAGCUUGGUUAAACAGAGUUUACUGUCUUUUCAUGACUUUGCACUAGCCCCAUUCAAAUUUGGAUAACUGAGAGACAUUUUACUAGUCUGAAAAAGGAACUAAUACAGUACUCCACAAGCUAGCAGGCUAGUGAAGUUCCUAUCCUUGGCAUGGUGUCAUUCUAAGCCCCUGAGGCCAUGGCUCAUGGUGAUAGAGCCAGGUAAUGGAUAUGAUGAAUGUUAUGCAGCUGGGUUCAUUCCUGGGGCACAAACUGUAUAGCGAUGCAGAAAGACCAAUUCUGACACUGAUCUCACGAGGAAAACUAUUUAACCUCACAGUAACCUCACAGUUGCUAAUGGGUUUGGUAUUGAAAGAACUCUGCUUUUAGGGACCAUACACUUGUAAUUCAAGAUAAAGAAAAAACAUUUC
Thunnus maccoyii (southern bluefin tuna) is the source of this 5528-nucleotide RNA transcript. It is a transcript of the gene named transmembrane protein 125, with no coding region annotated. The record is from RefSeq and is a predicted model, not a curated record. The transcript has 4 exons. NCBI's taxonomy places the organism in Eukaryota, Metazoa, Chordata, Actinopteri, Scombriformes, Scombridae.